Molecule: unclassified non-coding RNA, 435 nt
Filed under: fungal sp.
Lineage: Eukaryota; Fungi
Description: partial internal transcribed spacer region
Rfam family: Eukaryotic small subunit ribosomal RNA (bases 1-46)
Source: RNAcentral
AAGUCGUAACAAGGUUUCCGUAGGUGAACCUGCGGAAGGAUCAUUAAUACGCUUUUGUUUGUAACAAAACAAAACGUUUUAAACUCCAAAAGAGAUAGUGGAAAUAUAACUUCCGGAUGCGAAUGUUGGGAACUGAGUAAAAUUGGUUCUUUGAAAAGGGACUUCAAGUAAAAUUGACACUUCAGAGUAGAGCAGUGAGGUGAAACUCUCUUUAACGAGAGAGUUUGUGUACGAGAGAGUUUGGUUCUGAAAAACAUUUGUAUCCGGUUAUAACAUCUGUUCUACAACCAAAAUAUCAAACAAUAAACCCCAUGUACAACAACUUGAACUAAACAUUUUUUUGUUGUCCGCUCGCACACUUGUUGUGUGAGAAGAUACUACAAAGAAAAAACCUGAACUUAAGAACAACUCUUAACAACGGAUAUCUUGGUUCUC